This 614-nucleotide ribosomal RNA is filed under the name Lactococcus lactis. Its description in RNAcentral is "bacterial SSU rRNA". It matches the Rfam family "Bacterial small subunit ribosomal RNA", at positions 74 to 679 of the family's 1533-position model. The record is from RNAcentral. Lineage: Bacteria; Bacillati; Bacillota; Bacilli; Lactobacillales; Streptococcaceae.
CUUGUACCGACUGGAUGAGCAGCGAACGGGUGAGUAACGCGUGGGGAAUCUGCCUUUGAGCGGGGGACAACAUUUGGAAACGAAUGCUAAUACCGCAUAAAAACUUUAAACACAAGUUUUAAGUUUGAAAGAUGCAAUUGCAUCACUCAAAGAUGAUCCCGCGUUGUAUUAGCUAGUUGGUGAGGUAAAGGCUCACCAAGGCGAUGAUACAUAGCCGACCUGAGAGGGUGAUCGGCCACAUUGGGACUGAGACACGGCCCAAACUCCUACGGGAGGCAGCAGUAGGGAAUCUUCGGCAAUGGACGAAAGUCUGACCGAGCAACGCCGCGUGAGUGAAGAAGGUUUUCGGAUCGUAAAACUCUGUUGGUAGAGAAGAACGUUGGUGAGAGUGGAAAGCUCAUCAAGUGACGGUAACUACCCAGAAAGGGACGGCUAACUACGUGCCAGCAGCCGCGGUAAUACGUAGGUCCCGAGCGUUGUCCGGAUUUAUUGGGCGUAAAGCGAGCGCAGGUGGUUUAUUAAGUCUGGUGUAAAAGGCAGUGGCUCAACCAUUGUAUGCAUUGGAAACUGGUAGACUUGAGUGCAGGAGAGGAGAGUGGAAUUCCAUGGGUUAG